Molecule: ribosomal RNA, 429 nt
Filed under: Chloroflexota bacterium
Lineage: Bacteria; Bacillati; Chloroflexota
Description: Chloroflexi bacterium partial 16S ribosomal RNA
Rfam family: Bacterial small subunit ribosomal RNA
Source: RNAcentral
UGGGGAAUAUUGCACAAUGGGCGCAAGCCUGAUGCAGCCAUGCCGCGUGUAUGAAGAAGGCCUUCGGGUUGUAAAGUAUUUUCAGCGGGGAGGAAGGGAGUAAAGUUAAUACCUUUACUCAUUGAUGUUACCCGCAGAAGAAGCACCGGCUAACUCCGUGCCAGCAGCCGCGGUAAUACGGAGGGUGCAAGCAUUAAUCGGAAUUACUGGUCGUAAAGCGCACGCAGACGGUUUGUUAAGUCAGAUGUGAAAUCCCCGGGCUCAACCUGGGAACUGCAUCUGCUACUGGCAAGCUUGAGUCUCGUAGAUGGGGGUAGAAUUCCAGGUGUAGCGGUGAAAUGCGUAGAGAUCUGGAGGAAUACCGGUGGCGAAGGCGGCCCCCUGGACGAAGACUGACGCUCAGGUGCGAAAGCGUGGGGAGCAAACAGG